RNAcentral lists this ribosomal RNA (466 nucleotides) under uncultured bacterium. Its description in RNAcentral is "partial 16S ribosomal RNA". It matches the Rfam family "Bacterial small subunit ribosomal RNA", at positions 29 to 506 of the family's 1533-position model. The record is from RNAcentral.
ACGAACGCUGGCGGCGUGCUUAACACAUGCAAGUCGAACGGAAAGGCCCUGCUUUUGUGGGGUGCUCGAGUGGCGAACGGGUGAGUAACGCGUGAGUAACCUUCCCUUGACUUUGGGAUAACUUCAGGAAACUGGGGCUAAUACCGGAUAGGAGCUCCUGCUGCAUGGUGGGGGUUGGAAAGUUUCGGCGGUUGGUGAUGGACUCGCGGCUUAUCAGCUUGUUGGUGGGGUAGUGGCUUACCAAGGCUUUGACGGGUAGCCGGCCUGAGAGGGUGACCGGCCACAUUGGGACUGAGAUACGGCCCAGACUCCUACGGGAGGCAGCAGUGGGGAAUAUUGCACAAUGGGCGGAAGCCUGAUGCAGCAACGCCGCGUGCGGGAUGACGGCCUUCGGGUUGUAAACCGCUUUCGCCUGUGACGAAGCGUGAGUGACGGUAAUGGGUAAAGAAGCACCGGCUAACUACGU